UUGUGUGGACCUGCGUGCAGUCAACAAAGCCAUCAUUCCAGAUAAAUACCCCCUGCCCACCGCUGAAGAACUCACCACACAUUUCCAUGGCUCCACUGUUUUCAGCAAACUGGAUUUAAAGCAGGGCUAUCUUCAAGUGCCCCUGGCACCGGCCAGCCGAGACCUCACGGCCUUUGUCACACAUAUGGGGGUUUUCCGAUAUAAACGCAUGCCCUUUGGCCUCAGCUCCGCCCCCAGCUGCUUCCAGAAGAUAAUGUCCCUUCUUCUAGCUGGCAUACCAGGGGUGUCCAUUUACUUGGACGAUAUUGUAGUUCAUGGAGCCACCCAGUCUCAACAUGAUGCCUGUCUACUUCAGGUUUUCCGUCGGCUCUCUGCCCAUCACGUUACGCUUAACACUGAGAAGUGCCUACUUGGUGUUCCAGAGAUAGAGUUUGUAGGGUACAAGCUCUCAGGGCAAGGCAUCACUCCUAUCUUCUCGCAUGUGGACGCCAUCCAGACCCUCCCUGACCCACAGUCAGUACCCCAACUGGCAUCUUUUCUGGGCAUGGCUACGUAUUACCUCCGUUUUCUCCCACAGUUUGCCUCCACUACAGCUCCACUACGCCACCUCCUCAAAAAGGACAUACCAUGGGAGUGGACCACAGCUUGUCGCCGUGCCGUGCAGACUAUUAAGCAUCAGCUCACUUCAGCCCCAUAUGCUGGCACACUUCAGUCUUGCAGCACCUACAGUUGUUACCUGUGAUGCCUCUGCAGUAGCUCUGGGUGCUGUACUGUCACAACUUCAUGAUGGUGUAGAGAAACCGGUGGCAUUUGCUUCCCGCUCCCUCACUCCAGCUGAACAAAAGUACUCGGUGGGUGAGAGGGAAGCGUUGGCCUGCAUUUGGGCAUGUGAGCGCUGGCACCUCUAUCUCUAUGGCAGAGCCUUCACAAUGCGAACUGAUCAUCAAGCUCUCACUGCACUUUUGUCCACUAGCGGCUCAGGACAUAAACCACUACGGCUACUGAGAUGGGCUGACCGUUUAAACCAGUACAAUUAUACUCUAGAAUUCACACCAGGCCGACAGAACACAGUUGCUGAUCUUCUGCCGAUGGGGUCAGUCACCACUCAAGCAGUGAUUCAAAGGCUGGAUUCAUUGUUUGCUCGUUGGGGUCUACCAGACAUCAUUACCACAGACAACGGGCCCCAAUUCAUCUCAAAUGACUUUACCACUUACCUGGCAGAAAAAGCUAUUAAACACAUCAGGACAGCUGUUUACCACCCCCAGUCUAACGGAGGUGUGGAGCGCCUCAACCAGACACUAAAGAAUGGCAUUCGUACUUACCUGACCGAGGGCUGGCAGUUUGAAGCAGCUCUCUUGCAAACCCUCCUACACUGCCGUGCCUCUAAGCACACAACUACAGGGGUGUCCCCAGCGUUGCUGAUGCUGGGAAGGGAAUUACAACUCCCUCUUGAUCGCCUUAGUUUUGCAAAGAGUAAUCCUGCACCGUCAGUUACACGUUUGCACGUAGAGGCUCAGCAGCAGCGUAUGAAGCUGAGGUUUGACCAGUCCAGAAGGGCCAAACCACCUAAAUUGCAGGAGCUGGACUGGGUGCGUGUCUGGCUUCCCCGGCGUCACAGCAAGCUACAGCCUCGAUGGUCAGAACCGUCACAGAUUAUGAAAAAGCUGGGUCCAGCUACUUACUGUCUGCAGGAUGGGUCACGAUGGCAUGCAGAUCGCCUGAGGAAGGUUCCGGUGCCAACAGAAGCACAAGGAGGGGGGAGCACUCCUUCACUUCUUUCCUGGCAGCCCCCGGCUGUGAUUGACAACGGGCUGGCAGCCCCACCUGCACCUCUCAGGGCUCCUCAAGUUGUACGGCGACUUCAGAGGGCCAAACAACAACCUACAUGGAUGAAGGACUAUGUGACUGGCUAAUGGUGUUUAAAAAAGGGGGGGGAAAUGUUAUGUUUAGAGUUUUGCAUGUUCGAUGCUACAGGGGUGACGUAAUGGGGAACUGUGGAAAAUCGGGUGACGGUUCCUGGGGGGACAGCUUGGGCUAGGAACACACAGGGUGGGACUUCUAAAAUAAAGCUGAGUGUUAGGGAGUGUUUGUUCCGACAGAUAAUAAACAACAACGUUUAUAAGUACAAGAGUCUUGCGUCCUUCCUGACACAACACUCCCAGUUCCCUAUUGUAGCAUUUUUAUUUAUUUAUUUUUUUUGUCCCGAAUUCUGUAGCGAUUGUGUUCCCUCCAGUAUUUCGCAGUUUGUUUCGCAGGCGCGAUUACGUUCAAAUCUGAAAGGCAGUGUUCAAUCACACAGUUCUGUUUUUAUAUAAUAUAAUAAUAGUGAAGGGGGUUGAACUGAAAACGCCGAAACACAGUAUCGUAAAAGGAAAACAAAAAAAAAAGUUGUGUAUAAAGUUAUCAGUUGCUGCAAUAAUUAUCUGUCCUUUGGUGCCAUCUUGCGGAUAUUUUCUGUAAUGCGGUUUAUUUUAUCCUCAACCAAAAUGGCUGCUACUCCUAUGUUAAGUAUAUGAGUGAAGCCAGGUAUUGCCCUAUUUCCUGUCUGCCAAUGCGGCGUUGUUUCCGUGUUGCAGCGAAAACCGGUGUUUUUACAGUUCCGGGCAGGCAGUUAAUUCUGAAGGAAACAACAACGCGAAACCUGAUGGAACGUUCCACUGCCUUUCCCUCCCGACCUCUCAGCAGAGUGGUUGUGACCAGCGGUACCCAUGGCAAUGAGCUGGGAGGAGUCUGUCUGGUGAGGGAGUGGCUGAGGCAGGGCAACACCCCCUUUCUGCACUGGCGCAGCUUCAGAGCGCAGACACUGCUAGCCAAUCCCAGAGCAACCAAGCAGAACAGGAGAUACCUGGAGACAGACCUGAACAGGUGCUUCACAGCAAAGAUAUUGAGGUCUCUCUCUCCCCUACACUCCUCUGCAGUGUUUUGAGCUCCAGCAGCCCUUUGAUUACCCCCGAGACGAGGAGGGCGUCCUGACAGCCUGCAUCCACCCAGAGAGACAGGUCAGUGUGUGUGUGUGUCUCUGUCUGUCCUGUCAGCCUGUAUCCACCCAGAGAGACAGGUCAGUGUGUGUGUGUGUCUGUCUGUCCUGACAGCCUGUAUCCACCCAGAGAGACAGGUCAGUGUGUCUGUCUGUCUGUCUGUCUGUCCUGACAGCCUGCAUCCACCCAGAGAGACAGGUCAGUGUGUGUCUGUCUGUCUGUCUGUCCUGACAGCCUGUAUCCACCCAGAGAGACAGGUCAGUGUGUGUGUCUGUCUGUCUGUCUGUCCUGACAGCCUGUAUCCACCCAGAGAGACAGGUCAGUGUGUGUGUGUGUCUGUCUGUCUGUCUGUCCUGACAGCCUGUAUCCACCCAGAGAGACAGGUCAGUGUGUGUGUCUGUCUGUCUGUCCUGUCAGCCUGUAUCCACCCAGAGAGACAGGUCAGUGUGUGUGUGUGUGUCUGUCUGUCCUGACAGCCUGUAUCCACCCAGAGAGACAGGUCAGUGUGUGUCUGUCUGUCUGUCUGUCCUGUCAGCCUGCAUCCACCCAGAGAGACAGGUCAGUGUGUGUGUGUCUGUCUGUCUGUCCUGUCAGCCUGCAUCCACCCAGAGAGACAGGUCAGUGUGUGUGUGUCUGUCUGUCUGUCCUUACAGCCUGCAUCCACCCAGAGAGACAGGUCAGUGUGUGUGUGUCUGUCUGUCUGUCCUGACAGCCUGCAUCCACCCAGAGAGACAGGUCAGUGUGUGUGUGUCUGUCUGUCUGUCCUGUCAGCCUGCAUCCACCCAGAGAGACAGGUCAGUGUGUGUGUGUCUGUCUGUCUGUCCUUACAGCCUGCAUCCACCCAGAGAGACAGGUCAGUGUGUGUGUGUCUGUCUGUCUGUCCUUACAGCCUGCAUCCACCCAGAGAGACAGGUCAGUGUGUGUGUGUCUGUCUGUCUGUCCUGUCAGCCUGCAUCCACCCAGAGAGACAGGUCAGUGUGUGUGGACCGGGAUUUCAAACUUGCCCCGAAUCUGAAAGUAAUGAAUGUGUAAAUGAACCAUCCUUCACUACAAUGAAUAACGCUGCUUAAAUACCCGCAUCCACAUCAAAUAAUUGUAUUAUACUAGAAUGAAUUGCAGCCAGUCGCUGUUUCUUUUCUGUUUGUUAAUAUUCAAUCACCAAGUAUGAAAACACAAUCAAAGCAUCCUCCUCAUCAUCACCCCGCUGCUCUGUUCAUAGAUUAGCUAUUCAUUCAUUAAGAUCUGAUCAGAAGCAGCUGAUCAGUGGGACUUGUUUGCUGCACACAGCAAUUCCACCACAGGAUUAAUCUCAGCAAAGGUGGAGCUCAUUUAUACGUGAAUUACUGUCAGUUUAGGGGCAAGUUUGAAAUCCCGGACUGUCUCGCAGCGUCCAGUUAAUCUGGAGCCAUAUGGUAACCUUAGUUUCUUUAUUUCAUUUAUUUGGUUGGGACCACGUGCAAUUAAAACAUUCAUGAUUGAACAUGCGAUGAUGCGUUGCACAUUCCGAUUUAGCCUAAGCUAGUUUUCAUCGGUUGUCCCAAAAACAGUUCAUGUAACUUCUUCAUCCAUUUGAGUUUGAUUUAUAGUUAGUUUGAACAUUUUCAUUCAAUUUAAAAAGUAAACAGCUAGCUGAGGCAAUAGCUGGCUUUUUUUAGAACUUGUGCUUUUUGCGAAAGAAACAAAGUGCUGGAAUCAGGAAAGACGCGGAGAUGUAGACGGAGAGAAGCUGAUCAACCAGAAAAGGGAUUUACCAGUGAACUUAUGGUCUGUCAAAGCAACAGUUUACAGGCCUGCGUAUUUCCUGCAGAUUUGGGCUUGCUGUUUUUUUGCAGGUGUUUUAAAUGUUUGAGAGCCACGGGAUGCAGUUUUUUUAAAGCUUGUUUGAGUUUUUUAUUUUAUUUUAUCUGACUUCAGCACAAAGUUAUUGUUUUAAAAACUGGUUGCAGGAGUAGUUUGGGCGAUUGACUGGCCUCGAUGUAUCCAGCUGCCUUCAGCAUUAUUCACACCCUUCAUAGACUAGAAUGGGUUUUAGCAAAAUAAAUGCAAGUGUACAUUCAGUAUUUGUUGUAUAAAUGAAUGAAAACAUUAAUAUUUUUAGACAUACA
Acipenser ruthenus (sterlet) is the source of this 5083-nucleotide RNA transcript. It is a transcript of the gene named N-acyl-aromatic-L-amino acid amidohydrolase (carboxylate-forming)-like, with no coding region annotated. NCBI's taxonomy places the organism in Eukaryota, Metazoa, Chordata, Actinopteri, Acipenseriformes, Acipenseridae. The record is from RefSeq and is a predicted model, not a curated record. The transcript is spliced from 3 exons.